AGAGUUUGAUCAUGGCUCAGAACGAACGCUGGCGGCAGGCUUAACACAUGCAAGUCGAACGCACCCUUCGGGGUGAGUGGCAGACGGGUGAGUAACACGUGGGAACGUGCCCUUCAGUUCGGAAUAACCCAGGGAAACUUGGGCUAAUACCGGAUACGCCCUUUUUGGGGAAAGAUUGAUCGCUGAAGGAUCGGCCCGCGUCUGAUUAGCUGGUUGGUGAGGUAAAGGCUCACCAAGGCGACGAUCAGUAGCUGGUCUGAGAGGAUGAUCAGCCACACUGGGACUGAGACACGGCCCAGACUCCUACGGGAGGCAGCAGUGGGGAAUAUUGGACAAUGGGCGCAAGCCUGAUCCAGCCAUGCCGCGUGAGUGAUGAAGGCCUUAGGGUUGUAAAGCUCUUUCGGCGGGGACGAUAAUGACGGUACCCGCAGAAGAAGCCCCGGCUAACUUCGUGCCAGCAGCCGCGGUAAUACGAAGGGGGCUAGCGUUGUUCGGAAUCACUGGGCGUAAAGGGCGCGUAGGCGGCUUUGUCAGUCGGGGGUGAAAGCCUGUGGCUCAACCACAGAAUUGCCUUCGAUACUGCAAGGCUUGAGACCGGAAGAGGUCAGUGGAACUGCGAGUGUAGAGGUGAAAUUCGUAGAUAUUCGCAAGAACACCAGUGGCGAAGGCGGCUGACUGGUCCGGAUCUGACGCUGAGGCGCGAAAGCGUGGGGAGCAAACAGGAUUAGAUACCCUAGUAGUCC
Molecule: ribosomal RNA, 743 nt
Filed under: uncultured bacterium
Lineage: Bacteria
Description: bacterial SSU rRNA
Rfam family: Bacterial small subunit ribosomal RNA
Source: RNAcentral